UACAGAGGCUGCAAGCGUUAUUCGGAUUCACUGGGCGUAAAGGGUGCGCAGGCGGUUGGGUGUGUCAGAUGUGAAAUCCCGAGGCUUAACCUCGGAACUGCGUCUGAAACUACUCGACUAGAGUACUGGAGAGGGAAACGGAAUUCACGGUGUAGCAGUGAAAUGCGUAGAUAUCGUGAGGAACACCAGAGGCGAAGGCGGUUUCCUGGACAGUUACUGACGCUCAGGCACGAAAGCAUGGGGAGCAAAAGGG
RNAcentral lists this ribosomal RNA (253 nucleotides) under uncultured bacterium. Its description in RNAcentral is "partial 16S ribosomal RNA". It matches the Rfam family "Bacterial small subunit ribosomal RNA", at positions 524 to 776 of the family's 1533-position model. The record is from RNAcentral.